This 253-nucleotide ribosomal RNA is filed under the name uncultured bacterium. Its description in RNAcentral is "partial 16S ribosomal RNA". It matches the Rfam family "Bacterial small subunit ribosomal RNA", at positions 524 to 776 of the family's 1533-position model. The record is from RNAcentral.
UACGUAGGUGGCAAGCGUUGUCCGGAAUUACUGGGCGUAAAGCGCACGUAGGCGGAUUGGAAAGUUGGGGGUGAAAUCCCGGGGCUCAACCCCGGAACUGCCUUCAAAACUCCCAGUCUGGAGGUCGAGAGAGGUGAGUGGAAUUCCGAGUGUAGAGGUGAAAUUCGUAGAUAUUCGGAGGAACACCAGUGGCGAAGGCGGCUCACUGGCUCGAUACUGACGCUGAGGUGCGAAAGCGUGGGGAGCAAACAGG